Molecule: long non-coding RNA, 329 nt
Filed under: Trifolium pratense (red clover)
Lineage: Eukaryota; Viridiplantae; Streptophyta; Magnoliopsida; Fabales; Fabaceae
Description: long non-coding RNA (TPRA_LNC003583)
Source: RNAcentral
CCUCCACCACCGUCAUGUUAGCAUUCUAUGGCUCCUCCGCUUUUGUGUUAUCCGAUGUCAAUCUUUACUGCAGUCUUCGCCACCGAUCUAUCGGAUUUCUUCAAGAUUCUAAAACUUGUGAUUUUCAAUUUCUUAGAUGUUAUGUUUUUUAGCGUAUUUUUUCCUGUUUUUUUUUUACUUAUUUUUUCAUCGUCAUUUUGUUUUUGUUUUCAUUGGUUGUCCAUAUCGGAAAAAAAUUAAAAACAAAAUAGUUUAGAGAAGACAAAAUGAAAUUAGGAGAAUGUAAUCAAGAAAAUUGAUCCAAUUGAUUGGCCACUGAGUUAAGAAGA